CACCCCAUGAGAGUCGGGAACACCCGAAGUCCGUAGCCUAACCGCAAGGGGGGCGCGGCCGAAGGUGGGUUCGAUAAUUGGGGUGAAGUCGUAACAAGGUAGCCGUAUCGGAAGGUGCGGCUGGAUCACCUCCUUUCUAAGGAGA
RNAcentral lists this ribosomal RNA (145 nucleotides) under Bacteroides thetaiotaomicron. RNAcentral describes it as "partial 16S ribosomal RNA". It matches the Rfam family "Bacterial small subunit ribosomal RNA", at positions 1398 to 1533 of the family's 1533-position model. The record is from RNAcentral. Lineage: Bacteria; Pseudomonadati; Bacteroidota; Bacteroidia; Bacteroidales; Bacteroidaceae.